Molecule: unclassified non-coding RNA, 1830 nt
Filed under: Leptinotarsa decemlineata (Colorado potato beetle)
Lineage: Eukaryota; Metazoa; Arthropoda; Insecta; Coleoptera; Chrysomelidae
Description: hydroxysteroid dehydrogenase-like protein 1, transcript variant X5
Source: RNAcentral
GUCGAGAAUUCUUUGAAUUCUGAAUUUUCCACCAUCAGUACCAAAAUCCGAUCCUGCUGUUCGUUGAAGCAUAGUAGAAACCUUGUCUCUCGUCGUCCGGCAACAAAUCCGCAGUACGCCCCUGGACGCAUGACGUCGCGGUGGGACGCUUGGAGCGCGUCCAGACGACUAUGCAGCGGCAGUUCGGCACGAGGGCCGAUCUUGGCUGGCUCGCAUAUCUUGCAGCUCUUGAAAUAAUAAAAAUAACAAAUAUGUAACUUUUCGCUUGUAUUCUGAGUAGUUCUUAAGGAUGAGCCUCGAAUGACAACUACCACGGGUGUGGAGAAUUAUCUUCAAGUUCACAUGUUAUAUCAUCAAACUGAUACAGACACCGCCGGGACAUCUGCAUCUUAGACCUGGAGAAACACUUGUCCCCUGCAAUGCACGCCCCUGAUCAAGGCUGCCUCUGAAUCAGCCUGACGUCUUCAUGAAGAACUUUUCCUAGUUUACUGAUGUGUCCAGAUGAACAAAGGAAGUACAGGAUACUUCUCCAUAAUAUGAUGAAACUAUCACCCUAGAAUCCAGUGGCGUACCAUACUGAAUAUAUUGAAUUUGUAUAUAUGGAAAGUUUAUUGUAGUUACAACUAUAGGGAUGAUACGCCACUGACGCGGUUGCUAUUCGAAGCUUCGUUUUGCUUGACUAACAAUUAAAAAGCACAACAAUUUUUUUGAGCCCUCUGAUAGUAGUUCGUAAGGAAUAUUUAUUGAGUAUAGGAAAGUUAGCUAUUAAUAUUUAGUAGAAAAAUUAUUUUCAAUACAAAUUAUACAUUUUUGCGUACCUUGUCCUAACUUUACGCUAAGAUUAUGUCCAGGGCCACUUCGAAAAUAUCAAUAAUCCGUCACACACGCUCAAACUCCAGUGGCUAGAAUUAAAGUUGAGAUUGUUUUUGUUUUUGAGGUUGCUCUGUAUAAAGCCAUGGAACAAAUAUACGUAACAAAGGGGUUAGUCCGUCUUUUAUGCCCAGGGAACAGUAAGGUACUGCUUGUACUGGCUUAGUCCAUACAAUUGUAAACAAUUCAGAAAAAUAUUUUAGGUAUAGCUGUUUAUAUAGAAGUUACUAACUAGGCCUACUUAUUUUGAAGAAAAUUAAAGAAAUUGUUGGGUUUUGGUGUUUUGUUCACAGAAAGCAAAUCAUCCGCCUAUUUUUCUGAAUAAGCGAAAUGAUUUAGUUGAAGAAAUUGUUCGCGUAUCUUAUAGAGUAUCAGAAAAAAUGAAACUCCGGAAAAUUGAAUAUUCACAAUUGUUGGGUCAAAAUAAUAUGUGAUCAGUUGACAUAGCUCGAACUUCAAAUCAGUUUCAGUUUCAACAGUUCAUCAGUCUAUGAAAUCAAGAUUUGGAAUCAAAAAUUGAAAAUCAAGUCGAUACAGAGUCAGAUAUUCUCCAAAAAACUUUUUUUCAUCGUUCUGUCAGACUUGACAAUGAAUUAUCUGUAUCAUAAGAGAAGCAGAACAUGCAUUGAUGAAUAUGAGAAUCCCAUAAGUAAUGAAUGUACUAUAUCUCUUUUUUGUGAAGAUACCACCAAUCACCAACAAAAGUAUUUUGGCUAGUGAACUUAAGAGUAGCUACUUAGCUAGACAUUACUCCCUCUAUACAAGGGAUGACCGAUAUAUUGUAUUCACUAGAUUUAUAGUGGCCUUUAUCGAAAAAUGCCCAUGCCUACUAUAUACAUCAUUUACAUAAUAUCAAGUAUUACAGUUUAUAAUUGGAUCUGAAAUUUGUUGAGGUUUGAAGCGAAACCCUUUGUACAAUGUAUUUACUCAAUGAUAUUGGGAAUAAAAUGGUUUGAGAUU